RNAcentral lists this ribosomal RNA (1528 nucleotides) under Klebsiella pneumoniae. RNAcentral's name for it is "bacterial SSU rRNA". It matches the Rfam family "Bacterial small subunit ribosomal RNA". RNAcentral also lists the same sequence under 1 other name. The record is from RNAcentral. Lineage: Bacteria; Pseudomonadati; Pseudomonadota; Gammaproteobacteria; Enterobacterales; Enterobacteriaceae.
AGAGUUUGAUCAUGGCUCAGAUUGAACGCUGGCGGCAGGCCUAACACAUGCAAGUCGAGCGGUAGCACAGAGAGCUUGCUCUCGGGUGACGAGCGGCGGACGGGUGAGUAAUGUCUGGGAAACUGCCUGAUGGAGGGGGAUAACUACUGGAAACGGUAGCUAAUACCGCAUAACGUCGCAAGACCAAAGUGGGGGACCUUCGGGCCUCAUGCCAUCAGAUGUGCCCAGAUGGGAUUAGCUAGUAGGUGGGGUAACGGCUCACCUAGGCGACGAUCCCUAGCUGGUCUGAGAGGAUGACCAGCCACACUGGAACUGAGACACGGUCCAGACUCCUACGGGAGGCAGCAGUGGGGAAUAUUGCACAAUGGGCGCAAGCCUGAUGCAGCCAUGCCGCGUGUGUGAAGAAGGCCUUCGGGUUGUAAAGCACUUUCAGCGGGGAGGAAGGCGAUAAGGUUAAUAACCUUGUCGAUUGACGUUACCCGCAGAAGAAGCACCGGCUAACUCCGUGCCAGCAGCCGCGGUAAUACGGAGGGUGCAAGCGUUAAUCGGAAUUACUGGGCGUAAAGCGCACGCAGGCGGUCUGUCAAGUCGGAUGUGAAAUCCCCGGGCUCAACCUGGGAACUGCAUUCGAAACUGGCAGGCUAGAGUCUUGUAGAGGGGGGUAGAAUUCCAGGUGUAGCGGUGAAAUGCGUAGAGAUCUGGAGGAAUACCGGUGGCGAAGGCGGCCCCCUGGACAAAGACUGACGCUCAGGUGCGAAAGCGUGGGGAGCAAACAGGAUUAGAUACCCUGGUAGUCCACGCCGUAAACGAUGUCGAUUUGGAGGUUGUGCCCUUGAGGCGUGGCUUCCGGAGCUAACGCGUUAAAUCGACCGCCUGGGGAGUACGGCCGCAAGGUUAAAACUCAAAUGAAUUGACGGGGGCCCGCACAAGCGGUGGAGCAUGUGGUUUAAUUCGAUGCAACGCGAAGAACCUUACCUGGUCUUGACAUCCACAGAACUUACCAGAGAUGCAUUGGUGCCUUCGGGAACUGUGAGACAGGUGCUGCAUGGCUGUCGUCAGCUCGUGUUGUGAAAUGUUGGGUUAAGUCCCGCAACGAGCGCAACCCUUAUCCUUUGUUGCCAGCGGUCCGGCCGGGAACUCAAAGGAGACUGCCAGUGAUAAACUGGAGGAAGGUGGGGAUGACGUCAAGUCAUCAUGGCCCUUACGACCAGGGCUACACACGUGCUACAAUGGCAUAUACAAAGAGAAGCGACCUCGCGAGAGCAAGCGGACCUCAUAAAGUAUGUCGUAGUCCGGAUUGGAGUCUGCAACUCGACUCCAUGAAGUCGGAAUCGCUAGUAAUCGUAGAUCAGAAUGCUACGGUGAAUACGUUCCCGGGCCUUGUACACACCGCCCGUCACACCAUGGGAGUGGGUUGCAAAAGAAGUAGGUAGCUUAACCUUCGGGAGGGCGCUUACCACUUUGUGAUUCAUGACUGGGGUGAAGUCGUAACAAGGUAACCGUAGGGGAACCUGCGGUUGGAUCACCU